GACGAACGCUGGCGGCGUGCCUAACACAUGCAAGUCGAGCGGAGCUAAUAGCAAUAUUAGCUUAGCGGCGGACGGGUGAGUAACGCGUGGGCAACCUGCCUUACAGAGGGGGAUAACAGUGCGAAAGCACUGCUAAUACCGCAUGACAUUGCGAUAUCGCAUGGUAUUGCAAUCAAAGGAGAAAUCCGCUGUAAGAUGGGCCCGCGUCUGAUUAGCUAGUUGGUGAGGUAAAAGCUUACCAAGGCGACGAUCAGUAGCCGAUCUGAGAGGAUGAACGGCCACACUGGAACUGAGACACGGUCCAGACUCCUACGGGAGGCAGCAGUGGGGAAUAUUGCACAAUGGGCGAAAGCCUGAUGCAGCAACGCCGCGUGGAGGAUGAAGGUUUUCGGAUUGUAAACUCCUUUGAUCGGGGAUGAAAAAAUGACAGUACCCGAAAACAAGCCACGGCUAACUACGUGCCAGCAGCC
RNAcentral lists this ribosomal RNA (470 nucleotides) under uncultured Lutispora sp. RNAcentral's name for it is "bacterial SSU rRNA". It matches the Rfam family "Bacterial small subunit ribosomal RNA", at positions 28 to 516 of the family's 1533-position model. Lineage: Bacteria; Bacillati; Bacillota; Clostridia; Lutisporales; Lutisporaceae. The record is from RNAcentral.